GUGCUCGCUUCCACAGCACAUAGACUAAAAUGGGAACGAUACAGAGAAGAUUAGCAUGAGCCCUGCACAAGGAUGACAUUCAAAUUCAUGAAACGUUCCUUUUUUUU
This is a small nuclear RNA of Suncus etruscus (white-toothed pygmy shrew), 107 nucleotides long. Lineage: Eukaryota; Metazoa; Chordata; Mammalia; Eulipotyphla; Soricidae. The record is from RefSeq and is a predicted model, not a curated record.